UAAAACGUAGGAGGCGAGCGUUAUCCGGAUUUACUGGGCGUAAAGCGCGCGCAGGCGGUUCUGUAAGUCGGACGUGAAAGCCCCCGGCUCAACUGGGGGAGGUCGUUCGAUACUGCAGGACUUGAGGUCGGGAGAGGGAGGCGGAAUUCCCGGUGUAGUGGUGAAAUGCGUAGAUAUCGGGAGGAACACCAGUGGCGAAGGCGGCUUCCUGGCCCGCACCUGACGCUAAGGCGCGAAAGCGUGGGUAGCGAACGGGAUUAGAUACCCCGGUAGUCCACGCCCUAAACGAUGGCAACUAGGUGUUGGGGGCUAUUAACCCCCUCAGUGCCGAAGCUAACGCGAUAAGUUGCCCGCCUGAGGACUACGAGCGCAAGCUUA
Molecule: ribosomal RNA, 378 nt
Filed under: uncultured bacterium
Lineage: Bacteria
Description: bacterial SSU rRNA
Rfam family: Bacterial small subunit ribosomal RNA
Source: RNAcentral